CACCCAACAGCUAGCCCACCAGCACAACAACAACCAACCCUUAUCAAUACCCCUACAUACACGACCGACCACAACUGCUAAACCAUUUUUCCCCUUCAGUAUAGGAG
Molecule: ribosomal RNA, 107 nt
Filed under: Dendrochirus zebra (zebra turkeyfish)
Lineage: Eukaryota; Metazoa; Chordata; Actinopteri; Perciformes; Scorpaenidae
Description: partial 16S rRNA
Source: RNAcentral